AACAUGACAAAUAUACUAAGGUAGCAGAUCAUUCGUAGUGAAUCACAUUCAGCCACAUCCAAUUGGAUUCCUUGAUCAUGAGUGAAAACCAGUCCUUCCCUCAAAGCUUGGGCCUCUGGCCCACUGCAUCAUCUGUCUCAAAACACUACAUCAGCUACUUUGAUUGUACCGACUCCAUCGUUGUUGCAUGGUACAGCUCCCAAGUUGAUGAACCUAUGUUCUUCGAACCGACACAUCAGUAUUCAACUCGAGUUUGUUGGAAAUUUAUUGUUCAAAAUUAAAGUAAAAAGGGGGGGGGGCUUAAUUAAUAUCCCCAAAUAUACUUCCAUGAAAAACUUGCAAAGGCCUAUAAAUAGGUAAUCAAGUGCAAGAAAGAUAUAUUGAGUUCCAUUAAAAAUUAUCCUCAAAUAUACUUCCAAUAUUGAGAAAAUUUAUCACAUAAUUCUUCUAUUUUCACUUGUUCAUUGUGAAGAAACACCUUUGGUUUUUCGUGUUCUUCUUGUCAAGCCUUAUUUAAUCUUACAAGCUAUUUGUCGAAAAUUCUUAAAAAGCAUUGGAAAGAAGGCAAAUAACGUUUGAGGACAGCGAGAUUAAUUUCGUGUUUAAGCCUUCAUUGAUAUACUUUUAUAAUUUUCUUCUCCAUUGUCAUUAUUUUCAACAAUCUCAAACGUUAUUUGUUACUAUUAUUGCAAAGGAGACGGAAUCUACAAUUGUUACUAUCAAAAUGAUGAAUCAAGAUCUGGUACGCUUGGACAGAUUCGAUGGUGCAAUUUCACAAGAUGGCAAGACAAACUUAAAUUUCGAUUAAUGGCCUUGAAGAUCUUCUAUGUGCUUGAUCCAAAACUGGAUCCCAUUCCCAAUGCAACUGACAAUGAUACCGAAGAAAUUUGCGUAGAAAGGAAGAAACGGGAAGAGGACGAAUUGAUAUGUCGUGGCCAUAUCCUAAAUGCGUUAUCUGAUCGCCUAUAUGAUCUCUACACCAACACUACAUCGAUAAAAGAAAUCUGGUACGCACUAGAAAGUAAAUACAAAUUCGAGGAGGAAGGUACCAAAAAGUUCUUAAUAUCUAAGUAUUUAGAUUUCAAAUUUUUGGAUAAUAUACCAUUAUUGCCUCAAGUGUAUGAGUUACAAAUAAUUGUAAACAAACUAAAAACGGUGAAAAUCGAACUUCCUGAAACUUUCCAAGUGGGAGCUAUUAUCGCUAAACUUCAUGGUUCUUGGAAAGGAUAUAGGAAGAAGAUUCAUCACAAUUCCGAAAACUUUUCUUUGGAAGAUAUACAAAAACAUCUUCGUAUUGAGGAAGAAUCAAUGGCAAGAGAUAAGAUUGAAAAUUCUUAUGAAGGCCCUUCAAAGGCUAAUGCCGUGGACAAUGUGGACAACUCCAAUAAAUUUAAAAAGAAAGGAAAAUUUUUUGGUCCUAGAAAGGAUCAAGGAAAGUUCAAAAAUAAAGUCAAAGGACCUUGCUAUGUUGGUAGAAAAUCGGGACACUAUGCCAAUAAUUGUAGACAUAGAAAACAACAAAAAAAGAAAGAACAAGUGAACUCCAUUGAUGAUUAUCACCACGGUGAGCGAAAUCAAUGCAAUCCAAGGCAAAGUUCCGAGCUGGUGGUAAGAUACAUGCGCUACAAUCCAUAUAUGUUAUGAUAAGUCUCUUUUCAAAACUUAUCAUGACAUUGAAGACAAUCAAGAGAUACAAAUGGAAAAUGAAGAAAGAUCAAAAGUGAUUGGCAAAGGAAAUGUGGAAUUCAUUUUCUCUUCGGGAAAGAAAAUCACUAUGACCAAUGUCUUGCACGUACCAAAAAUAAAUAGAAAUUUAGCAAGUGGUGUACUCUUGGAAAAACAAGGAAUUAAAUCUAUUUUUGAAAAUGGCUAUUCCACCGAAGGAAUGGUCAAAUUAUGUACUAUUGAGGAUAACUCAAAUAAAAUUAAAUCUUUUUGCGUAUGUUACUAAUUCAUUUAAUUUAUGGCAUGGUAGAUUAGCACAUAUAAGAGUUAAUACUAUGAAAAGAAUGAUUAAAUGUGGAUUAAUAUAAUGUGAUGGUGACAAUUUCAAAAAAUGUGAAACAUGUGUUAAAUAAAAAAUAAUUAAAAAGUCAUUUCAUAGCGUAGUAAGAACAACAAGAUCACUUGAACUUGUUCACUCCGACAUAUGUGAAUUGAAUGAAAUGUUAACUAGAGGCGGUAAUAUAUAUUUUAUUACUUUUAUUGAUGAUUGCUCUAGAUAUACAUAUGUGUACUUAUUAAAACAUAAGGAUGAAGCCUUUAGUUCCUUUAAAACUUAUAAGAUUGAAGUAGAAAAUCAAUUAGGAAAAAUAUUAAAAACUUUAAGAAGUGAUAGAAGUGGGAAAUAUUUUUCUAAUAAAUUUAACAUAUUUUGUAAACAAAAUGGAAUAAUACAACAAGCUUCUGCACCUAGAACACCGGAACAUAAUAGAUUAGCAGAAAGAAAGAAUAGAACUAUUUUGGAAAUGAUAAAUGCAAUCUUGUUAAAUUCUAAAUUACCCUUUAAUGUAUGGGGUGAAGCCUUACUUAAUGCUUGCCAUAUAAUAAAUAGGAUUCCUAUAAAAAAGAAUAAAAUUUCUCCAUAUGAAAUUUGGAAAAGUAGAAAACCAAAUAUUAGUUAUUUUAAAGUGUGGAGGUGCCUUAUCUAUUGUAAGAAUAUGGAUCCUAAGAGAAUCAAGUUAGGUCCUAGAGGUAUCAAAUGUGCUUUUGUGGGAUAUGCUCUCAAUAGCAAAGCCUAUAGAUAGGGAUGUCAAAAAGACUCGGUGGCUAGGGCGGCUCGUGGCCCGGCUUGGGAAAAACCCGAGCCCGCCUGGCUCAUGGCUCGUAGAAACUGAGCCUCAAAAUAAGAAGUCGGCCUGAGUUCGAGCAAGCCCAUGUGGCUCGUCGAGCCAGACGACCCGGCUCGUGUCACGAGCCAUUUUUGGCCCGUGACAAUAAUGCUCGGCCCGAGCUAUAUUAAAGGGCAAAAAAAAAUAUUUUUUUUAAAAAAAAAAUCGGCAGCAGGUCAGUGACAGGCAGUAGGUUACAGCUGCCGGCUGGGGCAACUAUAGUUGCAUUUUUUACGAGGUGUAGUUGUGUAGAUUUUGAAAUUCAAAUUUGAAAAAUAACGCGAGUUUUUUGUCUAUAAAUACGGGGUGAUUUUUGAAGUUUUAAAUCACUUUGUUAUCGAUUUUAAUUCGCAUUAUUUCUAUAUUAUAGAUUCAGAUUCAAUCAUUCAAGUUUCAAUUUCUUUCACUCUACAGUUUAAUAUUCAAUAUUUUUUAUUAUACUAGCUAUUAUGGAUUUUACAAGUGAUGAAGUUAAUCAGUUUAGCGGUAGCUCGAGUACUCCAUCUAACUACGAUGCAUGUCAAAAUGUUUCAGUUAAUUUGAAGGAUAUUGAAAAGGAAGAAGUUCAAGUACUCGAGACAAAAAGAAUUAUCGGAUUGUUGGCAACAUAUGACACGUGAAAAAAUUGGUGUUCAAAAUGGAGUAGAUAUUUGGAAAGCAUGUUGCAAUUACUGUGGCAAAGAACUUAGUUGGAAGCCCGGUUCGAGCACAACGCAUUUGAAUAGACACGUAUUAAGGAGUUACAAAGUGAAAUCAGCCGAUCUCGACUCGAAACAGACCAAACUAGUGUUUGGCGGUUCUAAUUUUACUCUUUCCACCUUUUCAUAUUCACAGGAAAGAUUUCAUGAAGGAAUGGCUACAUACGUGGCUGCAACAGAGAUACCGCUUACGAUGAUAUACUCAAUACACUUUACUCGACUCGUGCAGAAAUAUCUUCAACCCAAGUAUUCUUCUUAUUCUAGAAAUACUUUUCGUUCGGAUAGCAUAAAAUUAUAUAACAGAAGAAAACAAGUUACUAUUGAAAGUCUAAAAAGUUUUAAUAGUGUUAUAUCGUUUACUUCUGAUUUAUGGGCUGACUGUAAUAGAAAAUGUUAUAUUGCUGCUACGGCUCAUUAUAUUGAUCACCUGUGGCUUUUACAUAAAAGAAUUAUUGCAUUCAGAUGUGUAGAAUGUCCUCAUAAUGCCACUACCAUAUACAUUGUUUUAAAAAAUAUCAUACAGGAAUAUGGUAUACAAGAUAUGGUUCGAAAUUUUACUUUUGAUAAUGCUGCAGUGAACAAAAUUGUUAUUGAAAGAUUUAUUGCUGAUCUUAACCCCGUAUUUGGAAAUUUAUUUUUUCAUCAACGUUGUGUAUGUCAUAUUAUUAAUUUGAUUGUAAAAGUUGGAUUAGAACAUAUAAUUUCACCUUUAGAUAAAAUUAGACAAGUAAUAAAUUUUAUUACUGUGUCACCAGCAACAAAACAAACAUUUAAUAGUUUGUGUACAUAGUAUGGAUUACAGGAGAAAUCAUUUGCCACUGAUGUAACUCAUAGGUGGAACUCUACAUAUCUUAUGUUACAUUCGUGUGAAAAUUACGAUAAAAUAAUUUCACUAUAUUAUAAUGGUAGGCAUACACUCGGACCCGAACAUAAUUUGGAAGAUUGGGAAUGGACUAUUACAUUUUACAUGAAAAAAUUCUUACAACCUUUUUUCGAUACUACAAAAGAAUGUAGCGGUGUUUAUUACCCUACAUCUUCUCGUGUUUUACAACAUUUUUUCUACAUUUCACAAGUAUUUCAUAAAUAUAGGAAUUUGCCACUUUUUUCUAAUGAAGUCCGCUCUAUAGAGUUAAAAUUUUGUAAAUAUUGGGAAGAGUUGCCUUCUUUAUUUCUUUUAGCUUCAGUAAUGGAUCAUCGACUUAAUUUAAUUGGCACAAAAGCUACUGUAAAGGGGAUAUCAGAUUAUUUGAAUAUAGAAUUAUCACAUGUGCAUAUAGAAUCUUUUUUGUGUGAAAUGUAUAAUUAUUAUACUGAAAAGGUAGGUCAGGGUAGUUCUACUUCCCAAGGUUCUUUUUCAAGAAAUAUCUCAACAAAUUCCGAAAAUUUAUGGAAUUAUUUAGAUAGCAAUACAAGUGUUUCUUCAUUUAAUUCUAGUUCUAAUUCAUCAACAUCUAGAGCAAUCAAUAUUGGUGGUACAAAUCUUGAAAUUCCUUCUGAGUUAGCUAGGUAUAUGUGCGUGGAUGUUCGUAGUGUGUUGCAACCAAAUGAAUUACAAGAAUUUAGUCUUUUAAAUUGGUGGAGGUAUAACGAAAGGCAAUAUCCAAUUGUAUCAAAAAUUGCACGUGAUCUACUAACACCUCCGGUGUCUACAGUAGCAUUAGAGGCUGCAUUCAAUUUAGGUGGUCGAAUUUUAUCAGAUGAACGAUCAAAACUAAAAGAAUAUAUAUUGGAGGCUUUAUAUGCUUGAAGGAUUGGGAAUGUGCGGAAUUACGUGUUCAAGAACAUGUUGAUAGUAUAAUGGUCGAAGAGUUGCAGCAUAUCCAAACAUAGGAUGUUGUAAGUUUUUAAAUUAAUUAUUUUUUUUAAGAAAUGUAUUUUUUAAAUUUAUUUAAUUCAAGAAAAAUUGUAUACGAAAUAUUUUAUUCGUGUACAAUUUUAACUCCGCCUACGUUGAUUGUAGGCGGUCCCAAACCCGAAAAAAGGAGGAGGGUUGUAAUUUGUAACUUUUAUUUAAUUUGUUAUUCGUAUAAAUUACAUAAUUUUGUAAGUUGUACUUUUAUUUAAUUUGUUAUUCGUAUAAAUUACAUAAUUUUGUAAGUUGUACUUUUAUUUAAUUUGUAAUUUGUAUAAAUAAUAGAUGAUGCAAUUUUUAAAUUCUUUAAAAAAAAUGUGAAAAAAAUGUCAUUAAACAAUUUCUUUGCCUUCUACAUUAAACAAAUUGCACUACAACAAUUGGCAUGUGAAAAAAAUGUCAUUAAAAAUUGGCAAAAAAAAUAAUAAAUUAAAAAAUCGAGCUGGCCCGGCUCGUAAAAAGCCCGAGACAAAAGCUUGGGCCAAGCCGUAUUUUUUUGGCCGAGCCAAAGCUCGGCUCGGGCUCGGGCUCGGGCCCGCUAUAAUUUACUCGAGCCGAGCUCGAGGCAGCUCGGCUCGACUCAUUUACAUCCCUACCUAUAGAUUAUUAACUCUCGAAACAGAUGUUAUAAUAAAAUCAAGAGAUAUGAAAUUCUUCGAGGAUAUAAUGGUGGCUAGGAAAUCUGAAAAUAAUAAUAAGGAUAUUUCAAUUUUUAGAAGCUCACCAGAAGAAACAUCCAUAAAAGAUGUUGAAAUUGAACUUCGAAGAAGUAAAACAAAAGAAAAGAACUUAGGAUCAGAUGAAAUAGAUCCCUAACUUAUUUCUUUUUACUUAGUACAAGGAGAUAGGAAGGAUGUUGUAAGAACAAUUCCCUUUGUUGGUGUUUUAUCUUUUUGUAUUUUGGUGAUUUGAUCUUGUUGUUUAGUCAAGAGAAUUAUGUAUUAUGUAAUUGAUCUUCAACGAAGUGUCCUUUUGAAUGAACAGGCUUAACACAUGUUUUGGACGACACAUGCCUUGGCAUUUAUAAUAUAGAGUGUUUGGGGGUUGUAUGAGAGUGUAAAAAAUUUAAAAAUUGAGAACUAGGGUUUAGCCGAAUAAUACAACUGCUCGAACAAUCUCCAAGUGGACAUCAAGCAGUCCUUCUCUGCUGAAAAUGCUUGAGCGGUUAAUCUUCUUGAGUUGUCUUAGAUUUCUUCAAAACACUCCCAAUCCCUCACUCUUUAACUAUAAUUACAACUCAAUAAAUAACAUUUUGAAGAUGAAACUUUGCCAAUACAUUUGGACCUAGCACAUACAUCUAGCCAAAUCAAGAUAUCUCGCUCAAAAUUGAUAUUCACACCCAAUAAAUUUGUUUCGAAACAUUAAAGUGCAAAACAGGAAUGAAACUGCCAUAAGGACACCCUUGUCAUUUUAGUACAAAGAUAACAAUAUUCAUAUUUGAUAACUAUGAUUUACACUUAUUCAAGUUGUCAAAAGGGAAUAUUUUGAACUCAAAUUGAUGGAAUUACUACUUUAUUUUGCUAAAUAUCGAUUGUUAUAAGGCAAAUUCAAUGUUAAAAAGCUAAUGAUGAAAAAAAUGAAAACUGGCCCAAAAGGCUAAAGAAGAAAAAUUAUAAAAGUUCAAGGACUAAAUCACUAAUUUUUAAAACUUGAUUCAGACCAAGGAUGGACAAUUAAAGAUAACAUGGAUCAAAAUCGACAAAAGUUGAAGUUAAAAGAUUCAUGAAAAGUAUAAAAGAGGACUCAAGCUAGAAAGAAGAAGAAAUUUAGGGACGAAAGUGAAGAAAAGCAAAAGUUAACGCCUUGCAAUCGAAAGGUGUAUACCUUACAAGUCAUCCGAAAUGAGUUGUAGACAAUUUAACAAAGCCGAGCAAUCUUAAUGGCCAUAACCAUGUCGUCACAUGAUUCAUUCCAACAAAAUAUAUUCUAUUUCCUUUUUUACCUCAAACUCUUUAUGGAGUGCAAUUCAUAUUUGUUUUUAUCUGACUUUGGAUACCAAAUUUCGAAGAACCAGGCUUUAGAGAGAAAACAAGAGGCAAGAUAAAAGAAUACUCAUUCCUAGGCGAAGAAAAAAAGAAGGUAAAAGGAGAUUGUUCAAGAAUGGUUAAGGAAAUUCAAGAAUUCGUAGCUUUUCCUCUUUUCCUUUCCAUAAUUAAAAUUCGGGUGAUGUAUCAACAUUCAAAUAUGAAUUUUUCUAACUUUAUAAUGUUUGGCUAAAUUACUAUUCACUAGGAUGAAAAUUGAACCCUAUUAUUAGGAAGUUUUAGUUUCAACUUUGAGAUCGUGACAUUUGAUUCUUGAUUAUCAUGAAUGAUUAUUAUAGUCUUAAUGCUUUCAAUUACUUAGCUAAUAAUUGAAUUGAUUUGUAAUCUAUUAAUAUUAACUCUAAUUGAAUAGCAUAAUAUGAUUGUACUGGUUUUAUAACUAGUUAUCUGAAAACUAAACGAAUGAACAACUAAGAGACAUCUAUAAACUCAAUUAAUGACAAGCUCUAGAAAUUUGAAUCCCCCUCUAUUAAUCAAUUUCAACAACAAUUCAAGACAAUGACAAUACUUGUUUAAUCUUGACGAUUAAUUCACCAAUUAUAUUAACGACAAGCACUGAAAUUUUGAAUCCCCCUUUAUUAAUCCAUUUCAACAAUAGUUCAAGACGAUGACUAAAAUUUUGAUAAUUAAAUAUCAAUUAUUUUUUUAAUCUAUAUUGAGUAAUACUAAGCUUAUAUCUUUAUGAAGUUGCACAUGUGUGUAGAUGUAUUAAAUCAAUGACAUUCAAUUAAAUCAUGGCUCAAAACAUUUCAAGAUGCACCCAAGACCAGUAGAUGCGCCUAGGAAUACUUGAAAUGACUAAAAGGGUCACGAUACUCAUACGGUGAAGAACAAGUAAACGGUGUUAAUUCAUUCGACGAUAGGUGUUCCUAUUUCAUUUACUACAUUUGAAACCGCUUCCGAUGUAUUAUUUGACGGACCCAGAUUAAGGUUUCGCUCGAGAUUGUAAUUUACACUGGAUAGUGUUGUGUCGAAAUGUUGAAAUCAUAACGACACCAUUGUCAUUCCAGUACGAGGAUGAGGAUGAGGAUAAGGAUAUCUAUAUCAUUAUGGAUCAAAAAUCUUCGAAAGGUGUCCAGACCAGUGGGCUUACCUUGAAAUACUUAAAAAUGACUAAAAGAGUAUGAGAAGCAGGUUCACGCGCACUCGAACGAUGAAGAACAAGAAAAAUUGGUUUUGAUUUAACAAAGAGAAGAAAAAUCAGCAGUUUGCAAAUAGUCCAAGCCCUUCCACUCCAUCAUAAAAUUGGUUUUGAAUUAACGAAGAGAAGAAUUAGCAGUUAUGCCUUGCGCUAUAGCGGCAACAUCAAACUCUCCCAUGUUUAAUCCGUCCUUAAAAAAUGUAUGGCCCAUUUUCUGCAAGAUCGUCACCUCUCCUCCUCCGAUGAAAACUGGCCCAAAAGGCUAAAGAAGAAAAAUUAUAAAAGUUCAAGGACUAAAUCACUAAUUUUUAAAACUUGAUUCAGACCAAGGAUGGACAAUUAAAGAUAACAUGGAUCAAAAUCGACAAAAGUUGAAGUUAAAAGAUUCAUGAAAAGUAUAAAAGAGGACUCAAGCUUGAAAGAAGAAGAAAUUUAGGGACGAAAGUGAAGAAAAGCAAAAGUUAACGCCUUGCAAUCGAAAGGUGUAUACCUUACAAGUCAUCCGAAAUGAGUUGUAGACAAUUUAACAAAGCCGAGCAAUCUCAAUGGCCAUAACCAUGUCGUCACAUGAUUCAUUCCAACAAAAUAUAUUCUAUUUCCUUUUUUACCUCAAACUCUUUAUGGAGUGCAAUUCAUAUUUGUUUUUAUCUGACUUUGGAUACCAAAUUUCGAAGAACCAGGCUUUAGAGAGAAAACAAGAGGCAAGAUAAAAGAAUACUCAUUCCUAGGCGAAGAAAAAAAGAAGGUAAAAGGAGAUUGUUCAAGAAUGGUUAAGGAAAUUCAAGAAUUCGUAGCUUUUCCUCUUUUCCUUUCCAUAAUUAAAAUUCGGGUGAUGUAUCAACAUUCAAAUAUGAAUUUUUCUAACUUUAUAAUGUUUGGCUAAAUUACUAUUCACUAGGAUGAAAAUUGAACCCUAUUAUUAGGAAGUUUUAGUUUCAACUUUGAGAUCGUGACAUUUGAUUCUUGAUUAUCAUGAAUGAUUAUUAUAGUCUUAAUGCUUUCAAUUACUUAGCUAAUAAUUGAAUUGAUUUGUAAUCUAUUAAUAUUAACUCUAAUUGAAUAGCAUAAUAUGAUUGUACUGGUUUUAUAACUAGUUAUCUGAAAACUAAACGAAUGAACAACUAAGAGACAUCUAUAAACUCAAUUAAUGACAAGCUCUAGAAAUUUGAAUCCCCCUCUAUUAAUCAAUUUCAACAACAAUUCAAGACAAUGACAAUACUUGUUUAAUCUUGACGAUUAAUUCACCAAUUAUAUUAACGACAAGCACUGAAAUUUUGAAUCCCCCUUUAUUAAUCCAUUUCAACAAUAGUUCAAGACGAUGACUAAAAUUUUGAUAAUUAAAUAUCAAUUAUUUUUUUAAUCUAUAUUGAGUAAUACUAAGCUUAUAUCUUUAUGAAGUUGCACAUGUGUGUAGAUGUAUUAAAUCGAUGACAUUCAAUUAAAUCAUGGCUCAAAACAUUUCAAGAUGCACCCAAGACCAGUAGAUGCGCCUAGGAAUACUUGAAAUGACUAAAAGGGUCACGAUACUCAUACGGUGAAGAACAAGUAAACGGUGUUAAUUCAUUCGACGAUAGGUGUUCCUACUUCAUUUACUACAUUUGAAACCGUUUGCGAUGUAUUAUUUUUCGGAGCCAGAUUAAGGUUUCGCUCGAGAUUGUAAUUUACACUGGAUAGUGUUGUGUCGAAAUGUUGAAAUCAUAACGACACCAUUGUCAUUCCAGUACGAGGAUGAGGAUGAGGAUAAGGAUAUCUAUAUCAUUAUGGAUCAAAAAUCUUCGAAAGGUGUCCAGACCAGUGGGCUUACCUUGAAAUACUUAAAAAUGACUAAAAGAGUAUGAGAAGCAGGUUCUCGCGCACUCGAACGGUGAAGGACAAGAAAAAUUGGUUUUGAUUUAACAAAGAGAAGAAAAAUCAGCAGUUUGCAAAUAGUCCAAGCCCUUCCACUCCAUCAUAAAAUUGGUUUUGAAUUAACGAAGAGAAGAAUUAGCAGUUAUACCUUGCGCUAUAGCGGCAACAUCAAACUCUCCCAUGUUUAAUCCGUCCUUAAAAAAUGUAUGGCCCAUUUUCUGCAAGAUCGUCACCUCUCCUCCUCCGCUGUCGUUUUCACUAUUGGCUUUAGCUAUCAAAUAACCAUUCAACAAUAAAGAUGAAGAUGGGUCAUCGAAGGUGAUGGCUUUGAACCAGAAACAGCCGGCAAGGAUUGAAAUUCCAAUAUUGAAUAUGGGUUUUGAAAAUAUUAAGAUGGACGAAGAUAAGGAUGUUGAUAGGUUGAGUGAGGUGGAGGUGGAAAGUGAGGGGUAUUCGGUUUAGGUGGAGUUAUGGAGGAUCGGUAUUCGGCUAUUCCAGAUCUUCAAGGGGAUAUUAAACGGGUGUG
Molecule: long non-coding RNA, 10941 nt
Filed under: Olea europaea (common olive)
Lineage: Eukaryota; Viridiplantae; Streptophyta; Magnoliopsida; Lamiales; Oleaceae
Description: long non-coding RNA (OEUR_LNC001806)
Source: RNAcentral